UAGGGAAUCUUCCGCAAUGGACGAAAGUCUGACGGAGCAACGCCGCGUGAGUGAAGAAGGAUUUCGGUUCGUAAAACUCUGUUGUUAGGGAAGAAAAAAUGUAUAGUAACUAUAUACAAAAGAGACGGUACCUAACCAGAAAGACACGGCUAACUACGUGCCAGCAGCCGCGGUAAUACGUAGGUGGCAAGCGUUGUCCGGAAUUAUUGGGCGUAAAGCGCGCGCAGGUGGUUUAGAAAGUCUGAUGUGAAAGCCCACGGCUCAACCGUGGAGGGUCAUUGGAAACUAAUAAACUUGAGUGCAGGAGAGAAAAGUGGAAUUCCUAGUGUAGCGGUGAAAUGCGUAGAGAUUAGGAGGAACACCGGUGGCGAAAGCGGCUUUUUGGCCUGCAACUGACACUGAGGCGCGAAAGCGUGGGGAGCAAACAGG
RNAcentral lists this ribosomal RNA (429 nucleotides) under Verrucomicrobiota bacterium. Its description in RNAcentral is "Verrucomicrobia bacterium partial 16S ribosomal RNA". It matches the Rfam family "Bacterial small subunit ribosomal RNA", at positions 355 to 776 of the family's 1533-position model. Lineage: Bacteria; Pseudomonadati; Verrucomicrobiota. The record is from RNAcentral.